This 529-nucleotide ribosomal RNA is filed under the name uncultured bacterium. RNAcentral's name for it is "bacterial SSU rRNA". It matches the Rfam family "Bacterial small subunit ribosomal RNA", at positions 775 to 1304 of the family's 1533-position model. The record is from RNAcentral.
AGUCAAUAGAUACCCCGGUAGUCCACGCCGUAAACGAUGAGUACUAGGUGUAGGAGGUAUCGACUCCUUCUGUGCCGCAGUUAAACACAAUAAGUACUCCGCCUGGGAAGUACGGUCGCAAGAUUAAAACUCAAAGGAUUGACGGGGGCCCGCACAAGCAGCGGAGCAUGUGGUUUAAUUCGAAGCAACGCGAAGAACCUUACCUAGACUUGACAUCUCCUGAAUAGCGCAGAGAUGCGUGAAGCCCUUCGGGGCAGGAAGACAGGUGGUGCAUGGUUGUCGUCAGCUCGUGUCGUGAGAUGUUGGGUUAAGUCCCGCAACGAGCGCAACCCCUAUUAUUAGUUGCUACCAUUAAGUUGAGCACUCUAAUGAGACUGCCCGGGUUAACCGGGAGGAAGGCGGGGAUGACGUCAAAUCAUCAUGCCCCUUAUGUCUAGGGCUACACACGUGCUACAAUGGUGAGAACAACGAGAUGCAAUACCGCGAGGUGGAGCAAAACUUGAAAACUCAUCUCAGUUCGGAUUGUAGG